Long non-coding RNA from Passer domesticus (house sparrow), 8312 nucleotides. RefSeq lists it as uncharacterized. The record is from RefSeq and is a predicted model, not a curated record. The transcript is spliced from 10 exons. NCBI's taxonomy places the organism in Eukaryota, Metazoa, Chordata, Aves, Passeriformes, Passeridae.
GAGGGUGCUGCUAUAUUUGCCAUGUUUCCAAGACUUCAGAAGAGGGAUGCUUUGUCUUUGAAACACAAUAUCUUACCUGAGAGAGGAUAGCAGCCCAUUCCACUGCCCUGUGUUUGCAAAGAUCGAAAGGGCCUCAAGACUUCACAGGACUAAGGGAACAAGUGAAGUUUUCUAAAUGGCAGUGUUCAGGAUAUAUUUCAAGUAGAUGUUCUGCAAUAUAUGUACUGUAGUGAAAGAGAGUUAUGGUCAUGCUGGCAUGGAAAGUUUGCCUUUUGGUGUGGCAAGAAGAGGUAGUGAAAAUGGAAAGGUUGGGACAGAGAAAAUGCAAGAAAAAAAGUAUAAUAUGUGAGGUUUCUCAGAAAGAGUUGAGAAACAGCCAGUAGGAUAGCUGGCCUGAGUGGUGAAAAGAGAAAAACAGACAAAUGGCAGAGGCAGCGGGAGCCCUUGCUAGUGUGGAGCAGCACAGCCUGCUGGGUGCAGACCAGACUAUCUGUUGAUGACAAACAGUGUAAAAUAGAUCAAUAGGACAUCGUUCUCCUUCCAGAAUUUUUAAAUUAUUAUUUAUUUUGUUAUUUUUCCAAGAGACGUAGAAAGACUUAAUCUUAAGACAUCUUUAAGACAAUCUUAAAAAUGUCUGUCAAACAGUUGAGAAUUGCCAGGAAGUUUGUAAGUUUGGCAUAGGGGAAGUACUAACCAGCUGGACAAUCAAACACACAAAGCAAUUGCUUUAAAUUCCUUACUUUUUGAAAUAUACUAAAACUGUCUCCUGGAAAGCACCCACUUUCUGCAGGUAUAGGACAAGGCAAUCUGAAGAGAUACUUUUCCCUGUUCUUAGGAAUUUGACUAGUGGUGUUCCAGUAAUAUGAGGAAAGUGGGCAUUCUCCUAGCUGUUGAGAUAAGGAAGAUAAAAGGGAGCCAUACAAACCUUUUGAUAGAUGAAGAACCUACACAACGAGGUCUCCAAACAUGGAAUACCAGAAUUAAUCUUUUUAAAGAGAUUCUUCAAGAAUAAAACUGAAAAGGGCGGGGAAAAAAAAAAGACAGCUAAUUGCAACAGUUUCUGGACAAGUCAGAGGACAGAUGAAUGUAAAAGAAUGCUGGCAUGGACAGGAAUAGUUUGAUUUCCAGUAAUGAGAGGAAAAAUGGCCUUUGCUAGGCUAUGUCAUGGCCCGUAGGCACAAAUACCACAUGAAAAGCACAAGAAAACAGGUUACCCUGCCUACAAGUGAAUACUAUGGCUUUUAUUUUCUAGCAUUACAAACCACAAUAUUUUGGUGUAAUUAUAUCACUUGAACAAUUAGCCAGCGAGAACUAUUUAGCUGAGAAUGUUUUUCUUUUCUGUCCUUUUCUGUCCUUUUCACUACAGGUUCUUGGUUCCAAAGUUUUGCUUUAAUAAGGAAACAGCCUGUGGAGUUCUACUACAAUUAGAUAAUGACCAUAAACUUUAUCAAAAGGGAAACUCAUAUAUAUUUUUUUCAAAAAUAAGCUGAUUUGUCUUUUUUAUAAUGAGAGGUAGACGAGUCUUCAAUCGCUAGCAUUUAAGCAACAAUUGGCCACUAGAGGGAAGUUACAAUUGUUGGUUAGCAGAAGUUCACAUUAAGUUAAUGUGAACUUAAAGUUCACAUUCCAUGUUAAUGCAUAAAAAAGUGUGUGUGUAUGUGUGUCCCUAUCUAUAGAUAUAAAAGUACUAUAAAAUAGUGGUUAAAAAGAAUAAUACACGAGUUCAUAAUAAUUUAUGCUUGUUCUGCAUAACACAUUAUAUCAGUUUAUCUGUGCAACAAUGACCUUAUUCUAAUUCAAUCAUUUGUUGUUAUGAUUUUAAAUUGCAGGGACAUUUAGGGCAGAAUUGCUGUUUGAAAAGUAAACUGGCAAGAGCUAUGGGUCAGGGAUGCUUGGUCUGAAAUUCAGCAGAUAGCCAUGUCCCAAAGGCUUUUCCGAGGCAGAAUCAAUCAGAAGCCAGAUGAAUGUCUUGUUAGGCUGUCAGUUCCCAGCGGCCAACUGUAAAUCUCAGGUCCAUGUCUUAAAUCCUUCUGCUAAGAGUAAAAAUGCACAUUAUGGACUGGGAGAGGAAAUGGAGAUGCAGCAGGACCCAUGGGACUUGCCACUAUCCACUUCUCUAAGAUGUUAUUUUGGAUCAGUCCCUCACAGCAGAAGGAACCAGAUUCUGUAGGAAAUCAAAUCUCUGCCCUUGAAGAAAGAUAUCUCAGGCUGUUAAAUCCUGGCAUGGGUGAUUUGAAUCCGUUGUGUCAGAAGUAUAGUGCUCCUGCUGGAAGAACUCCAGAAAUGAGAUUAGCAGUUGUUCAAGCAGGAAGUAAUAAAAGCAAUUCAGCCUCCUCUGGGGAAAGGUAACACCACAACAAUGUGAUUUUCUGGGAUAAUGCAACAUUAGGCUGGUGAAUGAGUUGAUGUCAUUGAUAAAAUGUAGACUGGAAACUGUGAUUACUCCAGUGAAAUAAGUUUCACUCUAAGACAAAGGGCAUAAAUCAUGAUAUGUACCUGAAAAAUAGCCUGACAUUAUGCCCAAGAAGAUGAAAUGGCUACAAACACACAUGGGUAUCACACAAAAAAUUUCAAGAUUAUAUUGAUGGCAAUAAUCCAUCACCCAGCAUUUUAGUUAUCAAUUGUGAAUGUCUAGAUACCAUCCAAAAUCCAAAAAUUGACAAAAUAAUACUUCAUGUAUCUUCUAGUUUUGCCCACACAACUGCAGAAAGAAAAGCUGAACCCUGACUCUUUGGAGCCCUUGGAGCCUGGUUCUGUUUUGAAUUGACAUGGCAAAGAGAGAAAGCAAAGAAAAAUGUGGGCAGAGGGGCUUUUAGAGGCAGUCACAGACAGCUCACUUGGUAGAAAUGCAGAGGUAAGGAUGAAAAGGAGAGCUACACGGCUGAGAAUUCUCUUUUGGAAAGGAGACAUUAGAUACCAGAAUGGUAAGUAGACUUUAGUAUUUCCAUUCCAUACAUACACAAUGAAAAUUCUUUAUGAGUUUAUGUGAUAAGACUGGCAAAACCCCAUUUAUUUCUGAAUUAUUCACUUAAUAGAAGUUUCUGCAUUUUGCCAGUAUGAAAAAAGCAAUGUAAUUAAAUGGGUGUAUAAACUGAGUAGAUAUCAUGGUCAAGCAGACAUAACCUAUUGCAGGAAAUGCCAUUGAACUUGCCCCAUAUAAUUAACAAACAAUCAUCAGCUUGAUCAGGCCCUGCAGAGAUGUGCUUUCAUUAGCCUGAGCUGGCUAUUGAUAGCUUCCUGCAUUUCUAUCACCCCCUGGAGCAUGAGGCAGCACUUCACAUGUGUCUGUAUUCAGGACUGGUUGGUCAGACAUGGGGAAAGACUGCUCGGGGCCAGCUGGGAUAAUGAUUUUUAACAGCUGAACUACAGAAUCCUAGGCAAUUAUAUAAAGUUAAUUCAGUUUGUAAAUCCAAUUAAGAAUAAGUUUUAGCACCAUGAAAAGCAAAGAUUUUUACUGUAAUUAUAGAAAUAUGCUUAUGCUAAUUAUUUUUCUUACCAGAAUGCAAAACAGUGUUUGAUGAGUAUAGUUCAGUAUUAGCAGCAGUUUAUAAAUAUCACAGAAAUUGUGCAGGUUUGAAAGCUUGCCUCUGGUUGAGAAAUGAAGCAAGUCUAAGCAAGUUCCCACACAGAAUCAGGAAUUGUGUCAGGCUUUUGAUUCAGUGGCAUCAGAAGUUGCCGAAGGUCUGCAGCCAGCAAGAUUCUCAUAACCGAAGAAGCAGCUCCUUGUUUGAUAAUUUUAUCAAUAAUUUAUGUACACUGGCUCAUUGCCACAAGUUUGAAAGUAAAUGAGUGCAGCUUUUGUGGGAGUGCAGAGGUAGCUCCUAGUGACUGUGUGAUUCCUGGGUUUUGGCGUUUAUCUGAUAUACAUGAUCAUGUGUUCUAAUGAGCAUGUUCAUGUUAUAAAAAUGUGAUAAAAUAAGCCUUGAGUAGGUCACCUAUUUAAUAACUGUUUCUGUUAUUGUAUGUGAUAUUGCAUAUCUUUCAGGUUAUCAACAUGGCAACACAAAGAAAAUAAAUCUAAAACCUUUAAAAUAAUAUAAUUCAAAAUUGCUAUGAAACAUCCCAUUCCCCAAAUUCUACAGGAGUAAAUACAAAUUUAUCAUCCAAAUCCAUAGACAAUCUUGGCAAUUUCAAUUUACAUAUCUUUUUAUUCAAGUGUAAGGAUAAGGAUUUCAAAAAGAGGGAUGCUCCUGAAAUAGGUUAUAUUUUAUUAUCAGGUAGAAUGAGCAAUAUACACUGACACUGACCUGCCUUUCUUGAGGACCUCUCUACCUAGGUAGAAAAGAUAUAAUAAAUGAAGUACAGUUGUGAACUUUUCAGUGGUGUGACUACAUGAUAAAUUAAUUUAAAAUACAUAGAAAAGAUCCAGGUACUCUCUCUGGCAUUUAAUUCCCCAUCUUUAUUAAUCUGGGGAGAUCUAUGGCUCUUUCUGCCUUACUCAACAUGGUCACAGUUGCCGCACUCAAGAUACUAAUCAGGUGGAAGACCCAGGAAGCCUUGGCUCCUCAUCUUCACUGACUUUUUUUCUUCUUCUAGAUGUCUUUUUAUUAUUGGCCUUUUCCACAGUCACUAAAAAUUUUGUAUAACAUCCCAUUAUCUUCCAAGUGUUUUUCACUGUGUCUUCACAGCCUUGUCCCAGUACUUAACCUACAAGAUUCAAACUGCUUCUAUCCAAGAAAAUAGAGAAAAUGUUUGACAAUACAGAAAAAUGUUGCCAAGCACUUGGUAGCUGAAAACCUGUAAGGACUCAAAGGAGGGUUUGAGGAAUGUGACACCUCUUGGGAGAAUCAUUGCAUAGAUUGCAUGCUAAUUCUGAAAACAGAAGUAGGCAAACCCGUGGGGUUUUUUGUUUUUAUGGUUUGGGGUUUUUUUGGUGUGGUUUUUUUUGUUUGUUUGUUUGGUUGGUUGGUUGGUUUUUUGUUUGUUUGUUUGUUUGGUUUGGUUUGGGUUUUGUUUUUUUUUUUUAAUGCAACUGUCUAAAAUGGAAUUUGAGGUCAGCAGAAGGAAUUACUUUUCUCUUGAGUGUUUUCAGAGCUCAUUGUUCCCUCCUGUGCCCAGGAAACACUUGGGAGUUUUGCCUCUGGGGCUCCUGGAGGGACAGAGUUGAUGGACAGACUAACAUCUGUGGGCUGUCUUCAAUUUUGUAAGAUUUGAUGAAAAUGGUGGUGGCAUCUCAACCCUUCCAGAUCUGACCAAUUUCAGCCCUACUCUUCCUUCAGUGUGCUGCAGUAAUUAUCAGAGGAUGAGAAACUCUCCACAGCCUGCCUCCCCUGGCAGCAAGGCUGCCAGCUUCAGACAAAUGUUGGCUGUCUCCCAGUGUGGGGCUGUGAGCCCAGGCACCGAUGAAUGACCCUCUUCUGCCACAUAGACACAGGACACGCAUUCCUUUUGGAGGAAACUGCUGUGAGCCUUGGACCCAGUCUACUUCCCCAAGCCCUGUACUGGCACUGCAUGAACCCCAGGAACACAAGCUGCUUGAGUGCCAGCCAAAUCCUCAUUAACCCGCUGACUAUUCCAAUCACAUACUGACCAACAUGUCUGAAAGGACCAAGGAAAAUAAAGGUCAGGAGAGGGUGGUGGUGUCUGCUGGUGAUGUAAACCUGUGUCCUCAUAGUGGUGCUGCAAUUUCAUCACUGCAUCUGAUUCAAAAAUACACCAACAGGUCAUCAGUUUUAUUUCCAUGUGUAAAGCUUGGUGAAGUUUUGAAAUAGCUCGACACAGCUUCCCUACCAGGAAAGCAGGAAAGGCUGCUGGAGGAUGGUCUUUGUGGAUAAAACCAACACUGAAUUCCUCAGCACUAUGACACUGUUUGUCUGCGCUUGGGAAUCGUCUCAGAUAACCAUGGAUCCUCUCCUACAGUGCACUGGUUUUCCUCAGAUGGAUUCUCCACAUGUACACUCUACUUUGAAGUAACCUGUCCUCUGUCAGGCUAACUUACUGCCAUCUUUGAAUUUAAGGUUAGGCUGCUGUGUGAGGAGGUUAGACCAGUCUGUUACAACUUGGUCUUGACAUAUCUGCAGAGCAGCAGACAGGCAAGUUAACAAAAGGACCUAAGUGCCACCUAACUGCCAUUUCAGAUAUCUAAGGCUUGUAUCAUACAAACUUACAGCUUCUAAUAACUUAAAUUCCCUGGAUGUUAUGUUUUCUUGUAGGAAGUGUGUAUUUUCCCAAAUACAGUCUGCACCCCAGUAACACUUAGCUCCUAAAUCCCAGCAGGAUUAAGGGUGUCCAACUGGAACUUUGUGGAAAAUAAAUGAAGAUUUAAUGGGAGAGAAAUGAAGAGGAAGAAAUCACAUCAUUUAUCCAGGAUAGAGACCUUCAAGUUCCGUGAAAACUCUGUGUCUGUGCAUCUGGCUAUAUGCAUCCACGGAAUAUGGACUGGACUGGUGAGAGAUUGUACUUUUGACUCUGGAGAGAAUCUGGGCAAUUUCUGCUUCUCUGAAGUUGCACUUGAGUCACCUGUGCUGUGGUAUUCUGGCAACUCAGCUCAUAGAGAAAAGAAUUUAAAGCAAAAGGGAGAAAAUCAUCCGUCACAGGAAUCAAGUACCCAGGGAUGUAGGUAUGUAUGUGAACUAAAAUAUACACUGAUUGUAAGGAGAGUGUUAUGGAAUAAUGAGCAGCUGACGAUUACAAAUGCACAGGGUGCUGAAAGCACUCUGUUUCUGCUUUUAGCAUGUCUUCUGUUCUUGUUUUGCUUUACUGACUCUCUGACUCUAGCAAAGGACAUCAAGAAAAGGGAGAGACAGAGAUGUUCUGUGCAGUGCAGAGACACCCACUGGUAUAUUUAAGUAAAAAAAAAUACCCUGCUUCAAAAUGUGUGAGACAGCCAUCUUAACUUCUGGCAGUGAAAUCACAAACUGAAAUUACUGAAUAUUAGGGAGGAAGAUCCUUCAGAGAGUACUGUGUUAAAUGCACAGUGGCAGAAUAUAUAUGUGCUGUACAUCAGAGGGGACACACAACAGCACUUCUUCACCAACUCAUCCUAGAGCUUUGUGUUUUACAGCUUCUAGCAGCAAAUGCAGCCUGAGGCAAUGAACAAUGCCACUCAGAGCAGUUGUAAGACUGCUCUAAAUCCUAGCAAGGGCUGAAACUGUUUUAUAGUCCUCAUCAUAAGAAAGCAGUUAAGGUGUCUAAAGACUGACAUUCAUGUGAGGUCUGUGCCAGAGAAUCAAAGCUCACUAAUACUUCAAAUGCCUUCUGUUUUGUGACUGUAUACUGUGCCAAUAUGCAUAAUCUAACCUGUUUACCUUAAUAGCCUGUUCUGUCUUUACUUCCCAUUUUUUUCUGCAUCUUGCAACCACCCUAUUUUCUCUCAAUUUUCUGGCAUGUAAUCUCUGUCCCUGCUGCUUUGAGAGCACAUUAACAGUGACAGUUCUUCUCAUCUUCUGAAUGUUUGUGUACACAUACAAUGGCCAGUAUUGGAUUAAGACACAGGAAUGAAAGACCCAAGUCUAAACCUCCAACUGUGGAAUGAUUAAAUUAAAACCUACUGGGUUGAGGUUUUUUAUGAACCAUCUUUUUUAUUCUUGAACAAGCUUCUGAUCCAUAUGGUCAUGAAAGCAUGAGCUCACUGAACUUGACAUAACCGUAUUUGGUGCAAUCAGCAAACAGUAAAGGCACAAAGUCAGUGCUACCUUGCAUUUUAGAGUUCAGAUCCUUUCAGACAUGUGAGAACUACCCAAGAUGACAGCUGUAAGUGAAGUAGUCCUCCCCUCCUUACUUCAAGUGUCGGGGGAAAAAAGGAACUGCAGGAACCUGAUUUUUCAUAAGGGGAAAUGUAUGUUUGGUGCUUUGGUGUUACUCCCACCAUAAUGACUGAUCAUGAAGAAACAAGGAGAGUCAGGGCCUUGGACCAGCUGAAGUUUUUCACUCUCAGGUUGUUACUGUCAUGCAGGUGGUGCAAACCAGUCAAGUGCGAUUUCUGCUGUGCCUGCUAGUAAUUGUGCCUUAUCUGUCACUCUCUGUAAAUACAAAGUGUCAUGGUUGCAGCCCCUGCUGCCAUCAAAAAUUGUGUUUCAUAUACAGGGUGAACUGAUGUCUCAAAACUUUUUAGGAUCCAUGUUCCAUCCCUCAUGAGCCCUUCCUGCAGCAGUCAUCACAAAUUUGGCAGCUCAUGACUCUUCAGUGGAUCAUGUCUCCACUUUUCUGGACCUGUUUGCUUUCUACAAGGGGGUAUGCAGCAAGCCCCAUAUUUGUCUUUUUUAUUUCCCCUCUGGGAGUUUUGAUUUCUGCAACUUAUAUUGUGGAAAAUACCACAAGACUUGGGCUCAAGGGACAAGUAGAUGCUUUAAAAAUAAAUAGCUAGUCUUUGC